RNAcentral lists this unclassified non-coding RNA (967 nucleotides) under Hevea brasiliensis (rubber tree). The record is from RNAcentral. Lineage: Eukaryota; Viridiplantae; Streptophyta; Magnoliopsida; Malpighiales; Euphorbiaceae.
GAGAGACCCUCUUCUUUUUCACCCUUAGGUUUUUCAUUUCUCUAAUAAAAUUGGAACCCCAUCGAAAUUCCAAACAUCGUCGCCGUCGUCGUAGCCUGCAUUUUGUUGUUAGAGCUCAGAUUUCUCUGAUUCAAGUUCAUCGAUCCUUUUCGCUGAGAUGAGUAGCAGUUCAGGCGAAGAAUCAGACUUGAGUGACUCUGAAAUUUUUGAGUUCAAAGAGAAGCCUUAUGAAGAAUUAAGAACAGGAAAACUGAAAGUUAAGGGUCCAAAUGGGUCCCUUAGAUGUCCCUUCUGUGCAGGGAAGAAAAAGCAAGACUACAAGUACAAAGACCUUCUUCAACAUGCUACAGGGGUUGGCAAGGGUUCAGCUAACCGAAGUGCUAAGCAGAAGGCAAACCAUUUAGCACUUGCAAAAUAUCUGGAAACAGACCUAGUGAAUGAGGCUGAGCCAAUACCUAAACGUGCUGUGACUCCAGAGCAUUCAGAAGCUGAAAAAGAUAAACUGUUCUUUUGGCCUUGGACUGGGAUUUUCGUUAAUGUAUCAAAGGAAACAGCAAAUGGAAGAUCUCCAGAUGACAAGGAGUAUUGGUUAAAAAAGUUUUCCAUGUAUAUGCCUUUGGAAGUUAAGCUUUUCUGUGAUAACCAAGCCAGAGUCUCCGAAGCUAUUGUGAGAUUUAAUAGUAAUUGGACUGGUUUUAAGGGUGCGAUGGAAUUUGAGAAGUCUUUCGAAGCCUCUCACUGCAGCAAACAAGAGUGGAAAUCCCUUAGAAAGUGCCCUGGUCCAAAUUUAUAUGGGUGGGUUGCUCGAGAAGAUGAUUAUAAAGCAGAAGGGGCUUUAGGCGAAUAUCUGCGAGAGACGGGGGAGCUGAAGACUAUCUCGGACCUUAUGAAAGAAGAAACACAGGGUAGAAAGAAAGUUGUAGCAAAUCUAGCCAAUGAAAUUGACAUGAAAAAUGAAAAUCUGGAU